ACGAGUGGCGGACGGGUGAGUAAUGCUUGGGAACUUGCCUUUGCGAGGGGGAUAACAGUUGGAAACGACUGCUAAUACCGCAUAAUGUCUUCGGACCAAACGGGGCUUCGGCUCCGGCGCAAAGAGAGGCCCAAGUGAGAUUAGCUAGUUGGUAAGGUAACGGCUUACCAAGGCGACGAUCUCUAGCUGUUCUGAGAGGAAGAUCAGCCACACUGGGACUGAGACACGGCCCAGACUCCUACGGGAGGCAGCAGUGGGGAAUAUUGCACAAUGGGGGAAACCCUGAUGCAGCCAUGCCGCGUGUGUGAAGAAGGCCUUCGGGUUGUAAAGCACUUUCAGUUGUGAGGAAAAGUUAGUAGUUAAUACCUGCUAGCCGUGACGUUAACAACAGAAGAAGCACCGGCUAACUCCGUGCCAGCAGCCGCGGUAAUACGGAGGGUGCGAGCGUUAAUCGGAAUUACUGGGCGUAAAGCGCACGCAGGCGGUUUGUUAAGCUAGAUGUGAAAGCCCCGGGCUCAACCUGGGAUGGUCAUUUAGAACUGGCAGACUAGAGUCUUGGAGAGGGGAGUGGAAUUCCAGGUGUAGCGGUGAAAUGCGUAGAUAUCUGGAGGAACAUCAGUGGCGAAGGCGACUCCCUGGCCAAAGACUGACGCUCAUGUGCGAAAGUG
Molecule: ribosomal RNA, 668 nt
Filed under: Alteromonas macleodii
Lineage: Bacteria; Pseudomonadati; Pseudomonadota; Gammaproteobacteria; Alteromonadales; Alteromonadaceae
Description: bacterial SSU rRNA
Rfam family: Bacterial small subunit ribosomal RNA
Source: RNAcentral